This 234-nucleotide ribosomal RNA is filed under the name uncultured Candidatus Saccharibacteria bacterium. RNAcentral describes it as "partial 16S ribosomal RNA". It matches the Rfam family "Bacterial small subunit ribosomal RNA", at positions 90 to 339 of the family's 1533-position model. Lineage: Bacteria; Candidatus Saccharimonadota. The record is from RNAcentral.
GGCGAGUGGCGAACGGCUGAGUAACGCGUAGGAACGUACCCCAAAGUGAGGGAUAAGCCCGAGAAAUCGGGUCUAAUACCGCAUAUGAUCUUCGGAUUAAAGCAUUUAUGCGCUUUGGGAACGGCCUGCGUCGGAUUAGGUUGUUGGUGAGGUAAUGGCUCACCAAGCCGACGAUCCGUAACUGGUCUGAGAGGAUGAUCAGUCAGACUGGAACUGAGACACGGUCCAGACUCC